GACAAACAGAGCACAGCUUUAGCCUGGGAGCGAGCGUGGCUCGCAGUGCCCAUUGUUGCUCUAUCCAGAGAAUGAUUCACCCUCCCCAGGGCUGUGCCUUGCCUCCGCACGUUUCGCAAGGCUCUGCCUUUAUAACAGCGUGGUGCUGCACGCAGCGACUCCUGGCAGAUUGCUGGGCUGCCUGCAGAGCGGGGAGGCAGCAGCUAAUCCUCCUAAGGAUGAUUUUCCUCUUGCAGUAUUUCUUCCUGCUGGCCACAGACCUAGUGCUGGCCAUGACCCUUUCCUGCCUCUUUUAUGCCUUCGCAUGCGUGUCCAUCGCGCUGCUGACCUGCUGCGUUAUCGUCGUCUCCUUCGGCACCGCGGAGAGGAGCGCCCACGUGAAAGGGAGAGCAAUUGUAAUUCUUGUGUCCAACAGCUCCAUUGGGAGGAUGUUUGCGAGGAACCUGGACAGAGCAGGAUUCGGGGUGUCUGCUGCACACUGGUCUGCUCCAGAGGAGAGGACAGUGACAGAAGAGUGCUCGUUGAACAAGGAGGUAGCCCAGCUGCACCUGACUGAAGAUGAGUAUCAGAAGACAGUGAAAACCUUCAUAGAAAGCCACUUAUCCCUGAAAGCCCUCUGCAUCUCAGUCCUCUGUCACCCACUGACCUGUGCCCUGACGCUCCUGAAGAGGGGCCCACAGCUGCUGGUGCCUCUGCUCAAGUCCAAAAACUGACAGCCAGCAAGGAAACCCACGGAGCACUACACACUGCCACUGUCACACCACAUGGAAAAAGGAGCAGAGCUGGGAUCAGAAGUGACAAACUCCUUGCAGCACGGGAUUGUGAGCAGUGACUUCAAUCGCAAGCCAACAAAAAACCGUGGAUGAAGACAGAAAACACCUUCAGAACCAUGACCCAGGUCAUGGUUCUCCCAACUCCCUUGCAAGUCUAAUCUGUAAGGAAGAGAACCCCAAGACGCUGAAAUUUUGGGUUGUUCUUUACAAUGCCAUACUGUGCACACAGAGGAAAAAUCAUCUGAGGUGCAAGGAAAUAAAGGAAGAAUUCUGCUGGGAAGCA
This 1056-nucleotide long non-coding RNA is filed under the name Serinus canaria (Common canary). RNAcentral's name for it is "lncRNA (ENSSCAG00000012706.1)". The record is from RNAcentral. Lineage: Eukaryota; Metazoa; Chordata; Aves; Passeriformes; Fringillidae.